GAUGAACGCUGGCGGCGUGCCUAAUACAUGCAAGUCGAGCGAACGGACGAGAAGCUUGCUUCUCUGAUGUUAGCGGCGGACGGGUGAGUAACACGUGGAUAACCUACCUAUAAGACUGGGAUAACUUCGGGAAACCGGAGCUAAUACCGGAUAAUAUUUUGAACCGCAUGGUUCAAAAGUGAAAGACGGUCUUGCUGUCACUUAUAGAUGGAUCCGCGCUGCAUUAGCUAGUUGGUAAGGUAACGGCUUACCAAGGCAACGAUGCAUAGCCGACCUGAGAGGGUGUUCGGCCACACUGGAACUGGGGCACGGUCCAGACUCCUACGGGAGGCAGCAGUAGGGAAUCUUCCGCAAUGGGCGAAAGCCUGACGGAGCAACGCCGCGUGAGUGAUGAAGGUCUUCGGAUCGUAAAACUCUGUUAUUAGGGAAGAACAUAUGUGUAAGUAACUGUGUACAUCUUGACGGUACCUAAUCAGAAAGCCACGGCUAACUACGUG
Molecule: ribosomal RNA, 497 nt
Filed under: uncultured bacterium
Lineage: Bacteria
Description: partial 16S ribosomal RNA
Rfam family: Bacterial small subunit ribosomal RNA
Source: RNAcentral